This 94-nucleotide small nucleolar RNA is filed under the name Echinops telfairi (small Madagascar hedgehog). RNAcentral describes it as "Small nucleolar SNORD12/SNORD106 (ENSETEG00000023203.1)". It matches the Rfam family "Small nucleolar SNORD12/SNORD106". From Rfam's summary of the family: This family belong to the C/D class of snoRNA which contain the C (UGAUGA) and D (CUGA) box motifs. This family includes the human ortholog of mouse snoRNA HBII-99 and human snoRNA U106. Lineage: Eukaryota; Metazoa; Chordata; Mammalia; Afrosoricida; Tenrecidae. The record is from RNAcentral.
GCUGGUACAAAUUGAUAGACUUGACUUUUUUCCCCAUCAGAUCGACAGUGUUGAUGGCUCUGAAUACUUGCCAGUUAGUUCUGAUAAGACCAGC